GCUUGCACCUGGUGGCGAGUGGCGAACGGGUGAGUAAUACAUCGGAACGUACCUUAUCGUGGGGGAUAACGCAGCGAAAGCUGUGCUAAUACCGCAUACGCCCUGAGGGGGAAAGCGGGGGAUCGAAAGACCUCGCGCGAUUAGAGCGGCCGAUGCCUGAUUAGCUUGUUGGUGGGGUAAAAGCCCACCAAGGCGACGAUCAGUAGCUGGUCUGAGAGGACGAUCAGCCACACUGGGACUGAGACACGGCCCAGACUCCUACGGGAGGCAGCAGUGGGGAAUUUUGGACAAUGGGGGAAACCCUGAUCCAGCAAUGCCGCGUGAGUGAAGAAGGCCUUCGGGUUGUAAAGCUCUUUUGUCAGGGAAGAAACACCGGCUCUAACACAGUCCGGGAAUGACGGUACCUGAAGAAUAAGCACCGGCUAACUACGUGCCAGCAGCCGCGGUAAUACGUAGGGUGCGAGCGUUAAUCGGAAUUACUGGGCGUAAAGCGUGCGCAGGCGGUUAUACAAGACAGGCGUGAAAUCCCCGGGCUUAACCUGGGAAUGGCGCCUGUGACUGUAUAGCUAGAGUGUGUCAGAGGGGGGUAGAAUUCCACGUGUAGCAGUGAAAUGCGUAGAUAUGUGGAGGAAUACCAAUGGCGAAGGCAGCCCCCUGGGAUAACACUGACGCUCAUGCACGAAAGCGUGGGGAGCAAACA
RNAcentral lists this ribosomal RNA (700 nucleotides) under uncultured beta proteobacterium. RNAcentral's name for it is "bacterial SSU rRNA". It matches the Rfam family "Bacterial small subunit ribosomal RNA", at positions 78 to 774 of the family's 1533-position model. Lineage: Bacteria; Pseudomonadati; Pseudomonadota; Betaproteobacteria. The record is from RNAcentral.